CGAAGGGGGCUAGCGUUGCUCGGAAUCACUGGGCGUAAAGCGCACGUAGGCGGAUUCUUAAGUCAGGGGUGAAAUCCUGGAGCUCAACUCCAGAACUGCCUUUGAUACUGGGAAUCUCGAGUCCGGGAGAGGUGAGUGGAACUGCGAGUGUAGAGGUGAAAUUCGUAGAUAUUCGCAAGAACACCAGUGGCGAAGGCGGCUCACUGGCCCGGUACUGACGCUGUGGUGCGAAAGCGUGGGGAGCAAACAGGAUUAGAUACCCUGGUAGUCCACGCCGUAAACGAUGGAUGCUAGCCGUUGGUGGGUUUACCCUUCAGUGGCGCAGCUAACGCAUUAAGCAUCCCGCCUGGGGAGUACGGUCGCAAGAUUA
Molecule: ribosomal RNA, 370 nt
Filed under: uncultured organism
Description: bacterial SSU rRNA
Rfam family: Bacterial small subunit ribosomal RNA
Source: RNAcentral